Molecule: ribosomal RNA, 468 nt
Filed under: uncultured bacterium
Lineage: Bacteria
Description: partial 16S ribosomal RNA
Rfam family: Bacterial small subunit ribosomal RNA
Source: RNAcentral
GACGAACGCUGGCGGCGCGCCUAACACAUGCAAGUCGAACGGAGCUGAGAGAAGCUUGCUUUUCUUAGCUUAGUGGCGAACGGGUGAGUAACGCGUGAGUAACCUGCCCUGGAGUGGGGGACAACAGUUGGAAACGACUGCUAAUACCGCAUAAGCCCACGAUCCGGCAUCGGAUUGAGGGAAAAGGAUUUAUUCGCUUCAGGAUGGACUCGCGUCCAAUUAGCUAGUUGGUGAGGUAACGGCCCACCAAGGCGACGAUUGGUAGCCGGACUGAGAGGUUGACCGGCCACAUUGGGACUGAGACACGGCCCAGACUCCUACGGGAGGCAGCAGUGGGGGAUAUUGCACAAUGGGGGAAACCCUGAUGCAGCGACGCCGCGUGGAGGAAGAAGGUUUUCGGAUUGUAAACUCCUGUCGUUAGGGACGAUAAUGACGGUACCUAACAAGAAAGCACCGGCUAACUACGUG